This 2777-nucleotide long non-coding RNA is filed under the name Sus scrofa (pig). RNAcentral describes it as "lncRNA (ENSSSCG00055011044.1)". Lineage: Eukaryota; Metazoa; Chordata; Mammalia; Artiodactyla; Suidae. The record is from RNAcentral.
UUUUUUUUUUUUUUUUUUUAGGGCUUCACCCACAGCAUUUGGAAGCUUCCAGGGUCUGGGUCAAAUCGGCGCUACCUGCCGGCCUGCAACACAGGAUCUCAGCCACAUCUGAGACCUAUAUCAUGGCUCACAGCAACGCUGGAUCCCUGACCAACUAAGUGAGGCCAGGGAUUGAAUCUGAAUCCUUAUGGCUACUACUCAGAUUCAUUUCCUUUGAGCCAUGACAGGAACUCCCCCUCAUAAUUUUUAAAGCAUUAUUUUAUAUCAAUCAUAACGGAAAUUCUUUAUAAGAUUUGUAAUACUAAUACUUCCUUACGGUAUUUUAAAUAUUCAUGUCCAAUUACCAGACAUUUUUAUCAAGGGCAGACACAGAACUUCAAUUCUAAACAGUAUAAUAUAUCCUAGCAACCUGGAAUCUUGAUUUUCAUAAAUUUAUUUUAACCACCAUUCUGUCACCUUUCAAAUUUAUAUAUUCUCCUUCUUACCAAGGAUAUCACUCAACUUUCAACCUUCAAGUUUUAUUCUACUUCUUAAAGUAUUCUUCAUGCUUUCAUCUUGUUUUAGAUAUGCUCUUGCAAGAAUGAUAAGGCAAACUGAAACUAUUAUGAAACCAUGAUCUCAAUAGUGUGAGAAGGAAGAAGAUAACAAUGAUUUCAGUGUGUUGAUUCAAUAUCUUAUUUCUUUCAAGUUGCUGGAAUAUAAAUCAAAUUAUAUAAAUUAUCAUUCAUCAUUGCCAAUGGUUUAUUAUAGUAUAGUAAUAAUCUACCAGUGUUAAUAUAAACAAUAUUUAUUAUUAUAUAAGAUUUUAGUUUCUUAGGCCCAUUAAAACUUUUUCGCGUGUAUUGUUUUGUUUUUUGGGUUUUGUUUGUUUGUUUUAUUUUUCACUGCACUCACGGCAUAUGGAAGUUCCAGGGCAAGGGAUCAAAUCCAAACCAUAGCUGGGACUUACACCAUAGUUGUAGCAACACCAGAUCCUUAACCCAUUGCACUAUAGCAGGAACUCUAUCUUGUCCACACUUGUAACAAAGUACUUGAAGUUCAGUUGUGUUCCUUGUGAACAUUUAUAAGGGGGAUAUAACAUUGAUUUGAAUGAAUAUCUUCCGCUAAUAUUUAUAUUCCCAAAGAAAAGAAAAGUAUUCCGUCUCUUUACCUGAAUUGAAUUCCAAAUACCUGUAACACCUAGUAUGCAGUAAUUUUUCAGUAGGAAAUACUGCUUUCCUAAUUUGGUCCUUGAAACUUGACCAAAUGUAUACAUUUUAGUUCUCUCUAGACAAUAUGAUUUUAUGAAUAUAGGCUACUGUGGAAGAAUGAAUUCUAAGAUAUUACCAUAAGUUAUGUUUGCAUAUGUGUGUUAGGAUUUGGGUAGGUGAUUUGGAAGAAAGAAAACAUGAACUGAAUUGAAUAUUCAAGCAAAAAGUAAAAGGAAAAUCAAAACUGCACAAAAAGUUCCAGGGGAGUUCCUGUCAUGGCUCAGUGGAAAUGAACCUGACUAGCAUCCAUGAGGACAUGGGGUGGAUCCCUGAUCUGGCUCAGUGGGUUAAGGAUCCAGCAUUGCCGUGAGCUGUGGUGUAGGUCAGACGUGGCUCAGAUCCUAUGUUGCUGUGUCUGUUGUGUAGGCCAGCGGCUGCAGCUCCGAUUGGACCCCUCGCCUAUCAACCUCCAUAUGCCAUGGGUGAGGCCCUAAAAAAGACAAAAAAAAAAAAAAAAAAAAGAUGCAGGAUUAUGAUGAUUUCAUGUAUAUAAGGUUUUAGUCACAUAGAUAUCUACGUAUAUGUAUAAAUAAAUGAGAAAGAAAACAUGCUAUAUACCAAAAAGCCUUGUCAGGAAAAUAGAACAAUUGGUAUUUCACAGGAAGGUUUUAAUAUAAGGAAUUGCUUACACAGAAAUUGAAGGGCUAAACAACAAAAAAGGAAUGUUGAGAUCAUCCGGUAUUAGUAACCACAGGAAGAAACUACCACUAGUUUGGGGGCAUAAAACUGUAGUUAUUCUAAUAUUUGGAGGAAGACACUCCAAAGACUGGCACUCUGACCUCUGAGGAGGCUAUGCAGUCAGGCUAGCACUAUCACCCCUGGAAGGGUGCAAGAAGCUCUGUGUAGAGAUGUGGAAAGAAGCCCGAAUCUAGAACCAGAAACACCACGGUGCUUCUACCUCUGUGAACAAGCUCCCAUUCCAAACCUCUGUAGUGCAAGCAUCCCACCUCCUAACAAUAACCUUAUGUCUCCAUCAAGAUGGCUUUUAGAAUCACCCACACUUCACCCAGUGUUUGAUCUCAUCAGGACCUCCAGCUAAUUAACCAGUCUUUUCUCUCAUAAUAAUAACAUAAAUAAUAAAACAUAUACUAAGUAUGUAUUAUAUGCCAACUAUUGUUCAAUGUCUUUCAUGGGUAAUAAUCCAUUUAAUUUUCACAACAGAAUAUAAGGUUUAUAUACUUAAUGGCCCUUUACUUACUUAUGUAAAGUAAAACUCUACUUUAUAUACUUUUACACAUGAACAACAGAGACAGAGAAUGGAAAAGAUUCCACAGCAAUUAUGAAUCAAGAAAGCUGAGACUUCUAUCCAGGGAAACUUCUGAGUCACCAAUAUUAAGCUCUCUACUUACCUUUCUUUACAUCCAUUAUGUCCAUUUUUUAUAGUCUAGUGACCAUCUUUUUUUCUUUUUUUUUUCCUGCACUUGCAGCAUGUGGAAGUUACUGGGCCAGAAAUCUAAUCUGAGUCCCAGGUGCAACCUAAACCACAUCUGCAGCCAUGUCAGAUCCUUAUUCCACUGCACCUGGCUG